CUUAGAGAAUAGAGAUCGCGGGUAGCCCAGCACUCCAAGUAUAAACCUGUUUUCCAAACUCCCAGCCAGAGCUCUCUGAAGACCAUAAUCAAGGACAACAUGAACAAAUUCUUUUCUCGCAAACUUGCAUCAAGGCUUUCGAAUUCCUAUGGGAAUUCUCACUAUUGCAGGGAUUGCGCUUCUUUUUCCACACAAGUGCUAACCGGUAACCAAAACUACUUCUAUGGCUCCUUCAUCACUCGCCCGGUUAAGGAUCACUCGCGUUCAUGGAGUUCACAUCGAAGUUUUACCGAGAAAAUUCAUGGGUUUUUCUCAGGCCCGGUGGUCGGAAAGCGAUUCAUAUUGAAUCCUUCAAACACCCUUUUCAAGGGGUCCAUUAAGAGUCUAGUAGGAAGGUCUCUCUUUAUGGGAAGCCCAUUUUCGAAACUUAAAUUUCAGUUGAAACCAGGUUUUGAUCAUCGAUGGUCAGGCAGGAGGGCAUGGUUUCAAAGGCUGACGACUAAUGAUGUAGUGUUGGGGUUGAUUAUAGCUAAUGUUGCUGUUUUCCUCCUCUGGCGGAUUGCUGAUCCUAUCUUUAUGUCAAAAAACUUUACUAUCUCUGUAGAAAAUGUUAGAAGCGGACGCAUACAUACAUUGAUUACAUCAGCCUUCAGUCACGUAGAAAUUGGCCAUAUAGUAUCCAACAUGAUUGGACUAUACUUCUUUGGGAUGAACGUAUGGCUAUCUUUCUUCGAACUUCUACUAGAUCGGUCGAGUGUUUGGUCCCGAGUUUUUGUUGGGAUUGUAUCUGGCUGGAGCAAUUGGCGGGUCAGCAUUUUACUUGGCACAGCAUCUGUUUCAAGCAUCAUCCUCAAAGAGCCGGCCAUUUUGGGGCAAGGAUCCCGCACGAGCACAAGGAUUGGGUGCAAGCGGAGCUGUAAAUGCUAUCAUGCUGCUUGAUAUAUUCCUCUUCCCAAAGUCGACCCUCUAUCUCGAAUUCUUUAUACCUGUUCCUGCCAUCUUACUGGGCAUUUUUCUCAUUGGAAAAGACAUGUUGAGGAUACUAGAGAAUGACAGCCAAAUUUCAGGAUCUGCACACCUCGGGGGUGCUGCAGUUGCAGCCUUAGCCUGGGCCCGAGUUCGCCGGGGUCGUUUCUGAAUAUCAAAAGAACUUUCGUACUCGCAAUCCAGAUUUGAUGCAGCAAUGCACAUCAUCAUCUUCUUUCCUAUUUCUCUCAUUCUACACUACCUUCAUUCUAGUGUAUAGAAGCUGAAAGACUUUUCAGAGUUUAAUUGGUUUAAUACAUUUAUAUUUCAUUACAUAGUUUGUUCAUUAAACUUCUGAUUGUUUAUAUAUAUGUCACGCUGCCUACCUGAUGGCAAUCCAUUAAACUUCUGA
Cucurbita pepo subsp. pepo (vegetable marrow) is the source of this 1378-nucleotide RNA transcript. It is a transcript of the gene named RHOMBOID-like protein 12, with no coding region annotated. Lineage: Eukaryota; Viridiplantae; Streptophyta; Magnoliopsida; Cucurbitales; Cucurbitaceae. The record is from RefSeq and is a predicted model, not a curated record.